UGGGGAAUCUUCCGCAAUGGGCGAAAGCCUGACGGAGCAACGCCGCGUGGGUGAAGAAGGCCUUCGGGUUGUAAAGCCCUGUCUUCAGGGACGAAAAAAAUGACGGUACCUGAGGAGGAAGCCACGGCUAACUACGUGCCAGCAGCCGCGGUAAUACGUAGGUGGCAAGCGUUGUCCGGAAUCACUGGGCGUAAAGGGCGCGUAGGCGGGGUUUUAAGUCAGAUGUGAAACCUGCAGGCUCAACCUGGAGCAUGCAUCUGAUACUGGGACUCUUGAGUGCAGGAGAGGACAGUGGAAUUCCUAGUGUAGCGGUGAAAUGCGUAGAUAUUAGGAGGAACACCAGUGGCGAAGGCGGCUGUCUGGACUGUAACUGACGCUGAAGCGCGAAAGCGUGGGGAGCAAACAGG
This 407-nucleotide ribosomal RNA is filed under the name uncultured prokaryote. Its description in RNAcentral is "bacterial SSU rRNA". It matches the Rfam family "Bacterial small subunit ribosomal RNA", at positions 355 to 776 of the family's 1533-position model. RNAcentral also lists the same sequence under 1 other name. The record is from RNAcentral.